This 36383-nucleotide long non-coding RNA is filed under the name Gossypium raimondii (Peruvian cotton). Its description in RNAcentral is "long non-coding RNA (GRAI_LNC000894)". Lineage: Eukaryota; Viridiplantae; Streptophyta; Magnoliopsida; Malvales; Malvaceae. The record is from RNAcentral.
GGGAAUUUAAGCCAGAGCGGUUCGCGGAAGGGGUUUCCAAAGCAACAAAGAGUCAAGUCACGUUUCUGCCAUUCGGAUGGGGUCCUAGGAUCUGUAUUGGCCAAAAUUUUGCUUUGAUGGAAGCCAAAAUGGCGAUGGCUAUGAUUCUCCAACGCUUCUGGUUCGAGCUUUCCCCUUCCUAUGCUCACUCUCCUUACAGCAGGGCAACUCUUCGUCCACAGCAUGGUGCACAGAUAAUUUUACAUAAACUUGGCUGUAAUUGAAUUGUUAUGUAAACAAAUCUUUGUGAAAACAUAGCGUUUUAGUGUAUCGUCAAAGUCCGGUAUCUGUAAUGGUACAAAUUCGAUGAAUGAAUAGUAAAUUUUGAGAUGUUUGGUGAAGUCCGAAAUAAUAUGCAGAAAUUGAGCGUCUGUGGUGGACAUAGUUGAGGGACUAAUGUGGUAAUUAUCAAUCAAAUAAUUCGGUACAAAGACUUAUAUGGAAAUUAAAGCAGGGGGAGUUGAAAAUGACUACUCUGCUUUGGGCAUCAAUUUAGAAAGAUUUAAAGUUCAAAUGUGUUAUUAGUUAAGGGAUUUGUUUUAAAGAGGGAAUGACAAUUAAACCUCAUGGUUGAUUUGUGCAAGGAACCGAUGAUGGGAUGAUUAUUCUUAGUGGUAAAAAAAACCAUUAUGGAGGUUAUUACACUUGUUAUCAUCGGCUUAAAAUUCGAUUGGGUUCAGGUCGGAUUAUAUCGAGCUUGUAAGAUAGUUCACCGACCAAGUUUGCAUAAUAAAAUACCUAAAUGAAAAAAAUUUCUAUUUUAGAGGAACCAGAGCCCCUACCAACUCCCGGUUCAACCACUAAACAAUAGCCAUAUCAUAUAAAUAAAUACCACCAUCUAAAAGACUAAAAAAAAACACUUAACAAAGGAUAAAUAGAUAGAUGUUGGAUAAGUGUCCAAAAUAUGAUCUAAGUGAAGAUACGUGGGGUAGGUGUUACGGAAAUGUGAAGACAAGAAUCCCACUAACGUAUGGGAUGUGUACAGUUGAAUGUAGGAAGCUAGUAAAAAAAUUUUUUUGGGUCAUAUAAUUUGUUUAGCAUAUAUUUUUAUAAUUUUUAAAUAUCAUUUUGGAGUUGAAUUAUAAUUUUUUUAUAUAUUAUCUUAAAAUUUUAAGGAGUUAAAACAAAAUUAUUUUAUUUUCAGAUGGUCAAAGUAGAGGUGAUAAUGGGUUGGGCUAUUCGGCCCGGCCUGACGAUUCACCCGAAAAAUAGGAGGGUUUAGGUAAAAAUAUAGGCUCGAAAUAUGGAUUUGAGCAAAAAAAGAGGCCCGUUUAGAAAAUGGGCUAGGCCUCGAGUAAAAUUUUUUGGGCCCAGGCCUGACCUGAAUUAUAUAUUAAAUAUAUAUAUUUUAUUUUUAAUCAAAUAUACUUUUGUUUUAUUAUUAAUUUGGUUAUUAUUUUAGUUCUAAUUUGUUUCAAUUUUAAUAUAACCAGUUUUUAUUAUAUUUUCAAUUUGUGUAUUGUUUUAAGAAUUGUUUUAGUCUCAUUAUUUAUUUAUUUUUUGUUUUAAUAUUUGUUUUAAAAAUUUUUAUUUAAUGAAAUAAGCUAAAAAAAUUAAUAUGGGCUGGGCCAGGCCAGGCUCGGGCCUAGUAAUUUUCUUUUGGGCCGGACUUAGAUAAAUUUUUAAGUCCAUAUUUUGAAUUGGGUCCUAACCUAAAAAAUAGACCUAAAAUUUUAUAUGGGCCCAGCUUGAACCCGACUUGGCCCAUGAUUACCUUUAAGUCAGAGCUAUCCUCGUUUUGCAUUUCUUUGAGAUUCAGCCUUAUCUACUAUUGAUUGCCCUCUCAAUUGAGGUUUGAGUAGAAAGAUUUGGUGAAGCAAGCUAAGCUAUCAAUCAAGGUUUGCAUAAUUAUUUAAAUGUAAUUCUAAUAUUAAAAUAAUUUUUUUUAUUAAUAUAGUAUCAACAAGCAUUAAAUGUAAUGAUCAUAUACUAUUACAUUUUCAAGAAGAGAAAACAUGUUUGAACUUUAAAAACGACGUUACUAAAAACAUUAUCACAAAUCUUGAAAUAUAAAAAAUAUUUUUUUAAAUAUAAUAAAAAAUUAAUUUUAAACCUGAGCUGAAUAAAAUUCUAAUUUUAGUUAAUGAUACCAACAACAAAUCAAUAUUCUAAGCCCGAGCCCGGCUCAUUUUUUUAAUAAACACCAAAAAUUUAUUUUGAAAAUAAAAAAAGUAUUUUAAAAAAAUUUUAAAAUUAAAAGAAUAAAAAUAUAUAUUUAUUAUAUAUUCAGGCCGGGCCGGGCCGGCCCCGGGCCAAAAAAGUGGUGCUCGAGACCCGACCCAUUGUCUAAAUGGGCCUCAUUUUUGCCCAAACCCAUAUUUCGGGCUUAUAUUUUUACCCGAACCUCUCAUAUUUUGGACGGAUCGUCGGGCCGGACCAGGCCGCCCGACCAUGAACACCUCUAGGGCAAAGUCACUCAAUGAAUGCAUGGAAAGAAAGAAUGCAACUUGGUGACAGCUUUUGUUGGAGUUAUAUGCUUUUUUUUACAUAGUGGAACUUUCUGUGGAUUUUCAAGUUUCAUGAACUUUAUACCCUAUGCUUUACGUGAAAAAAAUCAUUGGACUUAAAAGUCUACCAAAAGUUUCACUAUAAUAAAUAAAUAAAUAAAUAAAUAACAUUGCUACAAGACUACAACAUAAAGUUACAAUAAGAGCUUAUAACUCAACAAAGGCUAUCAAUAAAUAAUCUCAAGCAAGCUAAAGAGAAAUGUUGAGAGUACCACUCAAAUAGUGAUUGACUUUAAAAAUUAAAAACCCGAAGUUAUAAUAUCCCAAACGAAAUCAAACCAUAAACAUUAAAUUUUUCGAGUCUACUAGAUACUGUAAAAAAUUCAGCUCCAACGGACACCAAAUGAACCUAUGAUUGAAGAAAAUACGAAAACUAGUCUGGCUAAAUCAAUCUGCCAAACUUACUUUUUAUCUUAUCUUUAAUUUGCUGUGAAAUUCAAAACUACGUGUAAUACCCAAUUUAUGCCCGGCCCAUUUUGUUAAACCAAAUAAAAAAGAAAAGAAAAACAAAAUAUUUAAAUUUAGCCCAAAUGUCCAUUUACACAGCCCAAUUACAAUUGCAAAUAAAAAAAAACUAAAACUAAACCCGAUCCUAAGCAUCAGCCCAAAUUCGACCCAUGCCCAAAACGAAUUCAGAUGCAGAAACCCUAGCCCAGCCUCAACGCAAGAAAAAGUCGGAAGCCCUAAUGGUUGGUGCGCCGCUCCUGUAACAGCCCGAUUUUGGGUCUAGUCGGAACAGUGGUUUUGGGACCACAAAUCCGACGAGAAAAAAAUGUAAUGGCCUGAAUUUUCAGAGGUGUCGGAAUGGUGAUUCGAGAUCACUAAAUUCGAAAAAUGGGUAGAAAAUAUUAUUAAUUUAGUGAGUAUAAGUUAAAUGUGAAGUUAGGAAAAUUUUUGAAAUAGUGAAUAGUACACUAGAAAUAAAUAUUAAAAUAAUUAGAAUCGAAAAUGAGGUAUCGAGACCUCGGGGAUUUUAAACCUAGCCAUAAAUAUUUAUGUAGUGUUAAAAAGUUAGUAUUAAAGUUUCGUUAAGAAAUUUUAAAGUUCCGAUAAUUAAUUGAACAAAAAGGACUAAAUUGUAACAAAUACAAAAUUAUGAGAAAUGAUUAAAUAGCUUAAAUGAUAAAAGGAAGAGGGCUUAAAAGGCAAAUAGACCCAAGGGCUAUUUGGGCUGGACGGCAAAGGCAUGAAAUCAGCAACAAAGUAAGGAGAAUUAAGGGCAAAAUUGGAAUAUUGCAAAAUUUACUUAAUAAAGUUAGGACCAAAGUGGAAUUAUCUAGAUUUCUCUUUAUUUUUCUGCAUUCUCAUUAGCAAAAACACCAUAGAAGGGUUUCCUUAAGCCGGUUCUUCCUAUUUUUACUGCAGAUAAGUUCAAUUCUUGAUUAUUUCUUGAAAAUUUUGUGUUUUUGUGACUUUUACAACUAGGCCCACUUAUUGUAUUCAUUAGUUUUUGAUUCUAUGAAAGAAUUUGAAAGUUGCUAUGAAUACAUGCUGGAAGUAUAUGAUGAUUUAGCAUGGAAUUAGAGCUUUAAAUUGUUCAUAUGCUGAUUUUAUUGAAAGAAUUGAAUAGAAAGUGAAUGUUUGGGACCUAAUAGUAAAAGAGUUUGAAGAUAGAGUUAUAUGUGGAAAUUCUGAGUUUCAAUAGUUGUGAAACAACUUAUAAUGUCUAGGUAAAUUAUUAAUUGAGAAAAUUAAAUUAAUUGAGGGGUUAAUUGAGAAAGGACCGAAUUGUAUAAACUGUGAAAUUUGGGGCAAAAAGGAAAUCAACAUUUUGCACUAAAGCAGUUUUGGACAGCAGCAGUAGUAUAAAUUUGAAAAAUCACCAAAAAUUUUGGGAAUUGAAUUAGAGGGUGAAUAAAAUAUGAAAUUAAAGCUUAUUGAGUCUAGUUUCUUAUAAAGGAAACGGUGUAAGCAAUGGAAUUGUAAAUCAUGAGAUAUAAUAAAUUUUGCGAGACAAUGUCAGAAUGAUUUCGGGUUCCCCUAUUCUGACUUUGGAAAAUCAUUAAAAAUUGAAAAAAAAUUAUGAGUUAUAAUUUAUAUGAUUAGAAUCCUUAAUGAGUCUAUUUUCAAAAUAAAUAAAUGGAAACGUCAUAAAAAUUCUGUACAAUUAGAUAAUUCAUUUUUAGUGAAGAGUGGUCGGAACUGUCAGACAGCAAAACAGGGGAAACUUUAAAGAAUAAAAUGUACUAUUUGGCUGAACCAAAAAUUCUGAAAAUUGUAUGGUAAGAAGGUAUGUGAGUCUAGUUUCAGGGAAAAUUAAGGGAUCUUAAUUUAGAGCUCUGUAGCUCCAGAUAAAAAUAAUUUAGUGACUCUAACUCGGAUAAACAGCUUUGAAUAUACAUGUGAGUGAAUAGUGAAAUUAUAGCUAGUGUUGUUUAAGUGUGUUAUACACAAUAAGGAUGUGGAAUGGAGAGGAGGAGGAGGAGGAAAAAUUGGGAAAUAUAUGAAUGAUUUGUGUAUAAUUGGUCAUAUGCUUAAUUAUAAUUGAUAAACGAUGAAAUAGAAAUGAUGCAUAUAUUUGUGCAGUAUUGGUCAUGGUUUAAGCUCAUGUGGCAAAAUAAAGUUUAUAGUACGGGUGUAUUGUAUUUUUGGUAUAUGAUUUGGCAUUAAGUAAUGUCGUGAAUGGGUAUUGAAUUAACACAUGUUGGAAAGUUUGAUUCAGCACGCGUCGAGCCUCCGCGCCAAAACCACGUGAGCCUUCGUACACUCCAACUGGCCUCCGUACCUGCAACAAACAAAAGUAGACAAAACAACAGCAAAUGAUAGGAAGAAAAGGUAGUAAAUAGUGAAGAUUUUUCUGUAAUUUUCUUUGGAUUUCAUUCUGUAUUUUCGGCUAUAAAAGAGCCAUUAGGAAUAUUUGUAAAGGAGUUUUUUUUUUACCCUCACACACAAAGAGAAUAUACACGCAUACAAGAUCAAUAUAGAGAAAAAAAUAAAAAAAAAUACAAAGAAUAGAAAAUCAAGUUUCGAAGGUGAUUCUUUGAAAAAUCCUUUUCGUUUUUCUCCUUUUUCCUUUUUCCUGGAUCUUUUGUUCAUUUCAAGUAAAAAAAGUAUAAAAAGGAAACAAGUUUAGAGGAAGGAGGUUUACCUGGACGCCGGACCUCGCUCGCCUCGUCGAAAUCGAAGGCUGAGAGGGGAUAAAUCGGUUUUGCGACGGAAGGAAAGGGGGCUAGGGUUCUUCUUUUAAUUUUAAAAAAAAAAUAGAAAAUGUUGCUAAUUAGGUUUUAAUGGGGGGAUUUAUGUGUGUUAAAAAAACGACGUCGUUUAGCGACCUUUGACCCGCGCGGUGACCCGACCCGAGGAAAGGAUCCGCGCGUUUUGGGUCUGAUGGGUUUAUUGCGCAACAAGCCCUUCCGCAUUUGUUUUUCGUUUCAAUCCGGUUUUUAUUUGUUUUUUAAUUGCUCUCUCAUAUUUAGUUCCAAUUUCAAUUGGGUCCAUGAUUAAACGACAUCGUUUUCAUUGAUUGGGUUUGAAGGCCUAGUUUUGUGCGUCUAAAUUGCAGCAAUGGUCCCCCUGAUGUGCAAUGGUUCUCGAUUUAGUCGUCUCCACACUUAUUUCAAAGUCGUCCCUGAGAUUUUGUUUUAUUUUUGAAAUUUUCCUUGUCUUCUUUUAAUUUAUAAUGCUAUUAUUAUUAUUAUUAUUAUUGUUGUUGUUGUUGUUGUUAUUAUUACUAUUAAUAUAGGUAUUGUUAUCGUGUUAGUUUAUAUCUAUUUAUUUACUUUUAUUUUAUUAUGUAUUAUUAUAUAAUGCUUUUAUCAUGUAUCAUUUUAUAUAUUUUCUAUGUUAAUCUAAUAUGAUAUAUAUAUAUAUAUAUGUAUUUUUGUGAUCUUAUUUUAUAAUACUUUUUUAACCCAUUUAUAUGCCUUUAUGUUUUAAAGAUUUAUAAUAUUUUGAGCAAAACUAUUAUAUAUAUAGAUAUACAAUUUAUAUUAGACCAUUUUUAUCGUACAUAUACGUAUAUAUAAUUUAUAUUUUGAAACCCUAUUUUAUUAUAUUUUAUGCCUCUAUAUACAUCAUUAUAUGUUUAUUAUUCUUUAUAUUAAACCUGUCAUUUCACUUAUAUAUUUUUAAAACCAAUAUGUAUUAUUCUUUCUUCCUUGUUAUUUUUUAUCUCUUAAAAUAGAUUGAUAAUUCAUUUAAUUUUUGAAUGUUGUAUGACCGAGAUUAUCGUUGCCAUUCUUGUUCAAAUUUAUCCAUUGCUUGUUCAUAUUAUUUGAUAAUUUAUCGCUCACUAGCAUGUACCGUAAUUUACGAAUUAUCAAUUUGAAUUAUGUACUACCAUUCAAUCGCAUUACAUUUGUUUGGAAAACAUCGAAAUCGUUUUGCACAUAAACCUUCAAAAUGCUCGGUAUCCAAAAUUCUCGAGAGGAUUGUGUCCUAACUUACUAGGCUUCAAUUCUCCUUCUUGAUUUUAAAUAACCGAAUACCCCUUUUUCAAUUUGAACAUAGAAAUUCCAAAAUAAAAAAAAACUCAUUCUCGGGAAUUUGAUGCGUUGUGUCCUAACGUAUUGGAUAUGACAUAUUUUUCUCGAGACGAGGAUUUUUCUAACAAAUAAAAAUAAAGACAAUAUUUGAUAUUUAGGAAUUUUGUGAAAUCGAAGCCUAACUUACUGGGUUUUGAUUUUUUCAUUUGACCCAAGUCGGAUAUCCUUCUCAAAUGCAUAGAUUUUAAAAAAUCAAAAGAUAAACUUAAUUUCGAGGAUUUAAAAUGUUACACUCUAACUUACUAAGUGUGUCAAUUUAUUUCUUUGAAAUAAGUGAGUUUCAUCAUCCAAUUUAUUUUAUUCAAAUAUUCUUUUCCAAGGAUCGUAUUUUAAAAUCUUUUCAAAAUUUCGACAUUAAGACAUUAAACAAUCAAUUCGGUACCAAUUUUGGGCGUCACGAGGGUGCUAACCCUUCCUCGUGCGUAAUCGACUCUCGAACUUGUUUUCUCAAAAUUCGCAGACCUAAAAUUAUUUUCAAGGUGAUCCGAUUACACCACAAUAAAAUAUCGGUGGUGACUCCCAUUCCUAUUUUAAAAGUCGAUUCCCGUUUUUCAAAUAUAAAAAAAUGGUUUCGACACUACGGUUUUGUUUGUUUCACUUAGAACAACUUUCAAAAAGUUAAUUUUGAAAAAUGGAUUGAAUUUUCAAAAUAGAUGAUAUUUUAUUGUGUUAAAAUUUUAUUCGUUGUUUGAAAAAAAAAUUUAAAUCAUUUUCUUAGAAUUAUUUUUAGUGAAACAAAUAUAUCAUAAAUAUAUUUGUUAUAAAAUAUUAUAUUAAUAAUUUUUUUGACAAUUAAAAUAUAUUUUGUGAUAAGGUAAUAUUUUAUAAUAAUUAAUAUCAUAUAUACUUAAUAAUAAAUCAUGUCUAAUUAAAAUUUAAUUUCAAUUAAAUAUAUUAAUAAAGCUACAUUUAAUCAUAUUUUAUAUAAUUAAAAUAUUAAUAUAAAUAUUUUUCAAUAAUAUAUUAAAGAAUAUUUAAAAUUUAAAUUUAUUAUUACUAAGAUUAAUUAUUAAAAUAAAAAUGUACUAUUAAAUAAUUUAUCCAAUGAUAAGUUAUAUUGAUAAUUUAUUAUAUUAUUAAAUAUAAAUAAUUCAAUAUGUAUGUUUAAUAAUAUUAUGUUAUAAUAUUUAUUACUAAUAUUUUAAUAUUUUUAAACAACCAUAUUUUAAAGAUGGUGGUGAUGGUGAUGGUGCAGGCCCCCUUGUUACAAUUACAAUAUUUUUAAGUGGGAUGCAUGUAAUAUAUUGUUAGGGUUUUAGAGUGUGUCGUCUUUAAAAGGGUUAAAUUAUAUAUUUAUAUAAUAUGAUUAUUGUUUAUAAACAUAAUAUUGUAGAUAAGUUUAUAUGUAUGUCAAUAUGUAUCCUACUCUAGGGUUAAUAUGUAUUUUUUAGAUGUGGGUUCACCUAUAUAAUAGUAUGAAUCCAUCAUGCGGUCUCAUGAAAUAUACAAACACAUAUCGUGCUAACACAAAGUACGAACAAUAAAAAGUACAAAUCAAGACCCAAUUGAAUAAUUAAAUAACGGAUAGGUAAUAAUGAAUAUCAUAACAUUCACUAUCCCCUCUUUUCCAGUGAGUUAUUGUUUAUGAUAAAUUUGCAACAAAUGUUUUUAUCAUUAUUUUGUUGGUAAAUGAUAAUAAGCUUAAACUUUACUUUCUUAAGCUCCUUCAAUUCUUUGGACGUUAGCGAGUAAACUUGAGCUUCAGCAUUCCACAAACACCUUAAUUUGAAGACACAGUUCUCUCAUACUAAAAACGACAUGGACGUUUACCUUGUAAUUAGAGAUUUGGGCUCAUUGUUGGGUUAUUAAUGAUACAGGGAUGGAGAGCUUUAAACUGGGUAUGGCUGGCCCCAAAGAGGCUCGAAAGGUGCUUGAGACUAGAGGUGAUCAAGGGCCGGGUUAGGCCCGGUCUAGAAAAAAAUUUAGGCCCAUUUUUUAGGCCUGAAUUCGGCUCGGCUCAAAAUAUGAGCUUAAAAAUUUGUCUAAAUUCGGUCCGAAAGAAAAUUGUUAAGCCCAAGCCUGACCCAUAUUAAAUUUUACAACACCAAAAAAGUAUAUUUAAAUAAAAAUAAAAAAUAUAUAUUUAAUAUAUAAUUCGGGCCGGGCAGAACUCUGGCAAAAAAAAUUUUACUCGGGGCUGGUCUGUUUUCUAAACAGACUUCGUUUUUUUGCCAAAAUCUAUAUUUUAGGCAUAUAUUUUUACCCGAAUCUUCCUAUAUUUUGGGGUGAGCCGUCGGGCCAGACUGGGUAGCCGAACCAAUGAUCACCUCUACUUGAGACAACAGGGUUUUGCAGGGAAUUCUUACAGGUUCGUUUCUGGUGACAUAAAAGAGCUCUUCACUAUAAGCAUACAAACAAGAGCCAAAACUAUGCCUCUUAGUGAUGAUAUUGGGCCUUAUGUUGUUCCUUUUCAACAUCAAACCGUCAACCAGUAUGGUAUGUUUUUUUAUUUAAUCUGCAAUUUAUGAUAAUUCUUUGUUAUUUAUGUAUGGAAUUUAUUGGGAGGAAAUGCUGGAAAGAAUUCAUUUACAAGAAUUGGUCCAAGAUCAAGGGUGAACAUUACGGACCCUGAAAAAUAAGAGAAAUACUUAACAAAUUUAAUGACUUCCAGAAGGUACGUACCAAUCCACUGCUUAAUUUGCUUGUAAGCGGCCUCGUUAACCUCGAAGGAGACCGAUGGAGCAAGCAUAGAAAAAUCAUAACCCUUGCAUUUCAUCAAGAUAAGUUGAAGGUAUAGAAUAGUAAUGGGUACUCAAGACUUUAAAGAAAACAUCAUACUUAAGCCUAUGCUUUUCUGAUUUAGACAUAAUUGGAUGCAGAAUAUGUUGCCAGCAUUUUAUCAAAGUUGUAGUGACAUGUUUAAGCAAAUGGGAGAAGAUGGUGUGUACAGAAGGAUACAUUGAGUUAGAUGUGUGGCCUUAUCUCGUAGAUUUGACAAGAGAUGUGAUUUCCCGAUCUGCUUUUGGAAGCAGCUUCGAAGAAGGCAAACGAAUUUUCCAAUUACUAGAGGACCAACUCGUUGUUACAAUCAAAUUAAUACAAACUGUUUACAUUCCAGGAUGGAGGUAACCGUCUACUUAAUUUACUUGAAAAAGGUUGCAAAUGUUGGAAUUGGCUAAAUUCGUGUUUGUUUUCUUGAAGGUUUUUGCCCACAAAGACAAACAGGGAGGUGAAGAUGAAACACAAAGACAUAAAAGAGUCGCUCAGGGAAAUGAUAAAAAGAAGAGAGCAGGCAAUUAAAGCAGGGGAAGAGAGUAAUGAGGACUUGUUGGACAUACUUGUGGAAUCCAAUAUCAGAGAAAUGGAAGCAAAGAAUAUGGGGAUGAGCAUUGAGGAUGUGAUUGAGGAAUGCAAGCUGUUUUACUUUGCUGGCCAGGAGACCACUUCGGUCUUACUCGUGUGGACUAUGGUUUUAUUAGCAAGGUAUCCCGAUUGGCAAAGUAAAGCAAGAGAGGAGGUUUUGCAUGUUUUGGGUGACAGUAAACCUGAUGCUGAUGGCCUUAAUCGUCUCAAAGUUGUAAGUCCCUAUCAUGUCUCUUGAAGGCCCGAUCUCUGAGGUCGACAACUCAAAAACUUGGUUCUUUGUUUCGCUAAUUCUACAGUUAACAAUGAUAUUGUACGAGGUUCUAAGGCUGUACCCACCAGUGAUUGAGCUAGGACGUUCCGUUCCAAAAGAAAUAAAACUGGGAAAUUUGUUGUUACCAGCAGGAACAGACGUUUCGGUUCCAAUCCUGCAGAUCCACCAUGACAAAGAUCUUUGGGGCGACACCGCACGGGAAUUUAAGCCACAGCGGUUCACGGAAGGGGUUUCCUAAGCAACAAAGAGUCAAGUCACGUUUCUGCCAUUCGGAUGGGGUCCUAGGAUCUGCAUUGGCCAAAACUUUGCCAUGAUGGAAGCUAAAAUGGCGAUGGCUAUGAUUCUCCAACGCUUCUGGUUUGAGCUUUCCCCUUCCUAUGCUUACUCUCCUUACAACAUGGCAACUCUUCGUCCACAGCAUGGUGCACAGAUAAUUUUACAUAAACUUGGCUGUAAUUAAAUUGUUAUGUAAGCAAAUCUUUGUGAAAAUAUAGUGUUUUAGUGUAUCGUCAAAGUCUGUCUGUAAUGGUACAAUUCCGAUGCAUGAAUAGUAAAUUUUGAGAUGUUUGGUGAAGUCCGAAAUAAUAUGCAGAAAUUGAGUGUCUAUGGUGGACAUAGUUGAGGGACUAAUGUGGUAAUUAUCAAUCAAAUAAUUCGGUACAAAGACUUAUAUGGAAAUUAAAGCAGGGGGAGUUGAAAAUGACUACUCUGCUUUGGGCAUCAAUUUAGAAAGAUUUAAAGUACAAAUGUGUUAUUAGUUAAGGGAUUUGUUUUAAAGAGGGAAUGACAAUUAAACCUCAUGGUUGAUUUGUGGAAGGGAACCAAUGAUGGGAUGAUUACUCUUAGUGGUGAAAAAAAAACUAUUAAGGUGGUUAUUAUAGUUGUUAUCACCAGCCUAAAAUUUGAAUAGGUUCAGGUCGGAUUAUAUUGAGCAUGCAAGAUUAGUUCACGGACCAAACUUGUAUGAUAAUAGGUAUUCACAAAAAGAUAUCUAUAGUUUCCAACAAAGUCACAUGUGAGAUCGUGCAUUAGAACCGCAUAAACAUGUUUUAUGUUUAGAAUAUGAUAUGUGUCUAUGUGUAUAGAAUCUACCUAAUAUAUCAUAUUAAUGAAUAGUAUCAAUUGCGGAGCCAAAAAAUUAUUUGUGAGGGGUCAGAAUUAAAUUGUAUAUUUUUACAAAAAUAAAAAUUAAAUUUCACUAUUUUAAUAGUUUAUUUAUUUUUAAUUUUUAAAUGAUUAAAUUAAAUUUUAUAAAUUUUUAGGAUCAAAGUAUAAUUUUAUCAUUACUAAUUUAAAAUUUUAUAAAUUAUAAAAAGUUUAUAUGAAAAGUUUUCUAUUUUAGGGUGGCCAAAGCCCCUGCCAACUUCUGACUCGAUCACUUGCGGUUAGUUGGGUAAAGACUCAAGAAAAAUAGCGGUGUGUUUGGAUGGACAGUGUGUUUACUUGCGGUUAGUGUAAAAAUAGCAGUGGCGGUGAGAUUAGAUACUAUAGCAACACUGUAGCGUGAGACAAAAAGUAAGUUAAACGCACUGCACUGCACUUAAUCGUCUAUCUAAACUCACCAUAAGUGUCUAAAAUAUGAUUUAAGUGAAGAUACGUGGGGUAGGUGUCAUGGAAAUGUAAAAAAAAAAGAAUCCCACUAAUGUAUGGGAUGUGUACAAUUGAAUGCAGGAGUGAAUCAUUUGGGUAACAUUUGGACAAGAAACAUAAUGAACAAAAUGAAAGGAGAGGAAGCUAGUAAUAAAAGAUUCUUUUGGGUUAUAUAAUUUGUUUGGCAUAUAUUUUUAUAAUAUUUAAAUAUCAUUUUGGAGUUGUUGAAUUAUAAUUUCUUUUUAUGUUUUAAAACAUAGUUAUUCUAUUUUUAGAGGUCAGAGUAGAGGUGAGCAUGAGUCGGGCUACUCGGCUCGGGCCGAAGGCUUGCGCAAAAUGUGAGAGAUUUGGGUAAAAAUAUAGGCCCGAAAAAUGAGUUUAGACAAAAAAAAUAUAAGGCCCGUUGAAAAAACAGGCUAGGCCUUGGGUAAGGCAUUUUGGCCCCAGACCCGGCCCAACCCAAAUUCACUAAGGGCACGUUUGGUUCGCUGUAUUGGAAUAGAGGCGUAAUGUAAUAGAUGCGUAAUGGAAUAGAGACGUAAUAGCAAAUCAAUUGUUUGGUUGAAUGUAAUGGAAUAGAGGCGUAAUAGUAUUCUUAUAUUUGGUUGAAUGGAAUAGAGGUGUAACAGCAUAAGGAAAAAAGUUAAAAUGACUAGAAUACCCUUAGCAGAAAUUUGUUUAGAUAAAUGAUUAUUGUUAUUGUUAUUAAAUUUUAAUAAGAUUAUUAAUAUCAGUAAUAAAUAAUUUAAUCAUAUUUUAACAUAAUUAUUAUUAAAUAUAAUUUAAUAAAAAUAUAUAAUUUAAUAAAAUUCUUAAUAUUAAAUAAAAUUCUUAAUAUUAAAUAUUCUUAAUAUUAAAUUACUAAAAUCAUAAUAUAUAAUACUAUAAAAUAUAAUUUAAAUAAUUAUUAUUAAAUAUAAUUUAAUAAAAAUAUAUAAUUUAAUAAAAUUCUCAAUAUUAAAUAUAUUCUUAUAUGAAUUUACUAAAAUCAUAAUAUAUAAUACUAUAAAAUAUAAUUUAAAAUAAUUAUUAUUAAAUAUAAUUUAAUAAAAAAUAUAUAAUUUAAUCUAAAGUUUGAAUGUGUAUUUACCUAGCAAAAAUCAAUGAACUCUCGUGUAACUAUAACCUUAAUAAUAUAUGAUGUAUAAUUAAUAUUUCGUGACUAAUUAAUAGCAUAGAGAUAAAUACAGUAAUGACGAAUUUAUAGUAUACGAUUAAAAUGCUAAUAAUUUAUAGUAUACAAUUAAAAUAUUAUAAAUAAAAUAAUAGUAAAUGAUAUAUAAGAUAAAUUAACAUAUAAAUAAUUCAGAUAUGUAAAGAAUAUGGCUGAAUAUGGUUGCUCCAAUAAUAAAGGAUAUAUAAUAUAUCAUGGUGUUGUUUUGUUUAGAUAGUUCGGUAACUUAGGAGGGUAUGUAUGAAGAACACAAGUUGAUGCAGAUAGAAAGACGACAAUAUUACAUGAUUACAAUAUGAUAUAGUAUAUAUAUAUAAUUUAUGGAUUCCUUGCAAUCACGUGGCUUCUCUAGCCAUUUUAUUUAGCAUAUCCAGUGAUAUUAAGAUCCAGAAUUAUAAUACAACUAAAAUCUGUGCACACUUAUGGAUGAUCCAACAAAGCCUCAGUUGGCUUUAGGUUCCAAAUCUUGCAACCCACAAACCAUAUUUGCUGGCACUGCAACAUCAAUCAUCUUAGGAUAUGCCAAGUUAAGAUCUGUUGCACCAACAAAAACAGAGGAGAAAUUAGAAGGCGAUCCGAAAAAACCCAAGGAUGCUUUUUCUUUUCUUUUUUUUUAUAAUCUUUAUAGACUAGUUAUAUUGAGCAUCAACUUACUUUCCAUGAUGUUUUUGAAAGUCUCUUACAAAAAGGGUAUUCAACAAAUAAUAUAAUCAGACAUAUUGAUAGGACAAAUUGAAACUAGUAUUCUAUGAUCAUAAUAAAGAGUAAUCUUUAAUCAAAUGCGUGAAGGUAUUGAGAUGUCAUGCUUUUUCAUGAUUUCCUGUUUUACCAUGGCGAUGUUCAUUGGAAUAGUCCCAUCCAAGAGAAUCAAACCAAUGCUCAGCAAGAAAUGUUCAAUGCAUAUGUAAUUUUAAUUACAGAAGUUAUAUGCAGCUUAUAUGAGUUCAAGAUCAUAAAAGACUUCAUGGACAAAAGGAAACCCUUUCUUAUCACUGAAAUGAAAAUAGGCACUCUUAAUUUUCUAUUGUCAAAAGUAGCAAGCCAUUUUCCAAAGAAAAGGGAAGAUGGAUGGUUCCAGAAAGAAUACCUCAUCCUUUGUCAAGUGUGGAUUAUAUAGCAUCUCCUCUCCCACAGUGGUUACCNNNNNNNNNNNNNNNNNNNNNNNNNNNNNNNNNNNNNNNNNNNNNNNNNNNNNNNNNNNNNNNNNNNNNNNNNNNNNNNNNNNNNNNNNNNNNNNNNNNNAAAUCGAGCAAUCAUUUAUAUAUGUAAGAAAUGAUAGGAAUAAAGUUUUAUAUCUUACUGAGAAUCCUUUGUAGUCAUGAGUUGGAUAUAGCAAUGUCUCUUUCGGUAAUGUAAAAAUCUGGAUCCAUGAAACAAAUAAGUCCAUAAAUUUUAUUCAAAUUUUGACAAUUACAAUAAAAUUUUGAGAACUCAAAGAAUGUGACCAUAAAAAGUCCCCUGUCCUUACCUGUGAAUGCACUGACUUGUAGAGUUGCUGUGAACUUCCACCCUGCAAAAUGCAUUAAUCAGUGCUAGUCAAUGGCUACUGAAUGUGGGAGCAUUAGAGAAAAUUAUCUUAAAAACUUAAGUAUAACAAAAUUAGACAAUGACAUCCAGAUGGAAAGAAAUUGCCAGCAUAUAAGACCAGCAUUUAUGUACUCACGACUGAAAAUCCUUUGCAAAAAGUAUAGCCCUGAUAGUUCAAACUUUUACUUCAAGGAUGAUUUAAUUACUGAUUAGUUUACCAUGAGGCUUGUGAAUGACAAACACUUUAUGUGCAACCACAGUAACAAGGUAAGCACCAAUAAGUAGAAAACUAGACGAAUAGGUAACCAAGAGUUAGAGCUAAAACAGACAAACAGAGCUACUAUCCAAUGAGCUAAAACAUACAAACAGAGGUAUAUUUUAACAAUGAAAAUAAUCGAUUGCCUUAAACACCAUAUAGUGUUCCAAUCAAUCAAAUUAUAGCAGGCAUUAAAACCUUUCCCUUUCGUUAAUUCACAACUAUUAGCUUCAUUAAUCAAAUCCUAUGUACAGUUGAUCGAUUGAAAGUGUAACAUUUCAAAGACGAAAUUUAAACACAAAACUGGUUAACAUUGAAAUUACAUGUAAAUAUAACCUAAAAAACCAAAAAAUUAAUCAUAUUUUCAGAUUUCAGGCCGAAAUGGAAUGAAAUGAAAGGUAAAUCCAUUUUUUCCUCAAAAAAACAAAAAUAAAGAAAUAAUAUUUCAAGAACAGAUCAUUAAAUUCAUGGUAUAUAUAAAGAAAUUUAAUUGAAAUCAAAGGAAUAGAAGAAGGGAAAAGCGUACUUGGAACCAUUGCUGCUACUCUCUGUUACUCUGUUACCUCAUACGAUUCGUUAAAGGGUUGUUAGGGUUUGUUAAAGGGUUGGUCAGGAUAGAAGCAUGAAAAGGAGGGAGAAGGUUGGAAGGAAAUGGGAAGAAAAAUGAAAAAAAGAAGAAGAUGCUGCAACGGCUUGGAGGGUAAAAGAGGACCGAUUAGGUAAUCCUUUCUUUUCGAAGGGAUUACAAAUCGGCGCUGCAUAAGGGAAAAUGGGGAAUCGGUGCGCUGCGUAAUAGGCCCGUAUUAAGGCAAUACAGCCAACCAAACAGGGUAAUCAGUGGGGCCACGGAUUAGGGGUGUAUUGGCUAAUCCAAUACACCCAACCAAACAUGCUCUAAAGGACAAAAAAAUUUGAUUUUUUAAAUAUUAUUUUCUCUCUAUUUUGCUAUCAUUUUACUAUUAUGUUGCUACUAUGUUAUUGUUAUUUUUGGAUAUUGUAUAAAACUUAUUUUAUUGUUAAUUUUGUUAUUAUUUUAAAGACAUUUGUUAAUUUUGUUAUUAUUUUAGAGACAUUUGCUUGUUAAGUUGCAUCUAUCUUAGUGUUAUUUAAGUAUACAUAUUUUUUAAAAUUUAUUUUCAAUUUAUUGGGAAAUAUUUAUUUUGAUGUUUUUAGUAUUUUGGGUGUAUUAUAUAUAUUAAAAUUAUAUAAAAAUUAAUAUGGCCGAGCCGAGUCAGGUCCAGAUUUUAGCAUUUUUAUUCAGGUCGGGCUUGAGCAAAAUUUUAAGCCCAUUUUUUGGGCCAAACCAGGCCUGGGCUUAGCAAAUGGGCCUAAAUUUUUAGUCAAGCCCGACCUAAACCCGAUCCGGCCCAUGCUCACCUCUAGAUCAGAGCUGCCCUCGCUUUGCAUUUCUUUGAGAUUCAGUCUUAUCUACUGUUGAUUGCCCACUCAAUUGAGGGUUGAGUAGAAAGAUUUGGUGAAGCAAGCUAAGCUAUCAAUCAAGGUUGGAGAAAGCUUAGGAGGUCACAAUGCAUAAUUAUUUAAAUGUAAUUCUAAUAUUUAAAUAAAAUUUAUUAAUAUAGUAUUAACAAGCCCUAAAUGUAAUGAUUAUAUACUAUUACAUUUUUAAGAAGAGAAAACAUGUUUGAACCUUAAAAACAUCAUUAUUAAAAAUGAUAAUUAAAAAUUUUAAAAUAUAAAAAAUAUAAUUAAAAAUUAAUUUUAAACCCGAGCUGGAUAAAAUUCUAAUUUUAGAUAACGAUACUAAUAAGAAAUCAAUAUUAAAAUGAAAAUGAAAAGUAAUUUAAUAUAAUUUUUGAGUCUUGGGCAAAGGCACUCAAUGAAUGCUUGGAAAGAAAUAAUGCAACUUGGUGAUAGCUUUUGUUGGAGUAAUAUGCUCUUAUUAUAGUUUUAUGUUUUUAUCUUGCAAAAACAACAUAUUGGAGUUUUCGGCAUGAUUUUUUCUUAAUACUUUACAUGAAAAAUAAUAAUGGGACUUAAAAAUCUAUCAAAAGCUUCACCAUAAUAAUAAUAAUAAUAAUAAUAAUAAUAAUAAUAAUAAUAAUAAUAAUAAAUUGCUACAAUAUUACAACACAAAGUUACAAUAAGAGCUUAUAACUCAACAAAGGCUAUCAAUAAAUAAUCUCAGGCAAGCUAAAGAGAAAUGUUGAGAAUACCACCCGAAUAGUGACUGACUUUAAAAGUUGAAAACCCAAAGCUAUAGUAUCUCAAACUAAAUCAAACCAUAAACAUUAAAAUUUUCAAGUCUACUAGCUACUGUAAAAAAUACAGCUCCAACAGACACCAAAUGAGUCUUUGAUCGAAGAAAGUACAAAAACUAGUCUGGGUAAACCAAGCUGCCAAACUUACUUAUCUUAUCUUUAAUUUUGCAGUGAAAUUAAAAACUAAGUUUUUGUUUAUUUCACUUGGAACAACUUUCAAAAAAUUAUUUUUGAAAAAUGGAUUGGUUUUUCGAAAUAAAUGAUAUUUUAUUGUGUUAAAAUUUUAUUCGUUGUUGGAAAACUUUUUUUAAAUCAUUUUCUUAAAGUUAUUUUUAGUGAAACAAACAUAACAUAAAUAUAUUUGUUACAAAAAAUUAUACUAGUAAUUUCUUUUGACAAUUAAAAUUUAUUUUAUGGUAAGACAAUAUUUUAUAAUAAUUAAUAUCAUAUAUAUACGUAAUAAAAAUCAUGUUUAAUUAAAAUUUAAUUAAAAUUAGAUGUAUUAAUAAAGCUACUCCUCCACAACCCGCAUCCGCAACAGCACCAGCACCAGCACCAGCACCAGCAUCAGCACCAUGGGACAACUAUUGGGUUUCCUCCACCUGCCUCUAUCGCUCCUCCUCAGUAUUACCCCUAAGCCUACCAGACCGUGCCGGGUAUUCUACAAAUAUGAAAAAACCUUCUUCUCUUUUUAUUAGCUUAUCGAAAUGAAGGAUUUUGAGAUUUGGGCUUUUGUUAGAUGGAUGGUUAAUGAUAUUUUUUAGAUGAAAGAUACAAGUUUUUUAAUGUUUUAGAAGAAAAGGUGUUUAAAUAUUAGGAGUUUUUUAGCAGAGAAAGAAGAUAAAUAAAUGCAUAGAGAUACAUUAGCAAUAUUAUUUGGAUUUGGUUGUCUAAUGUAAUGAAGAAUUUUUUAAGGGUGACCUGAGUAGGUGUGGCAAGAUUCAAAGUUUUUUCUAUUAUAGCAGAUAUAUAUAUAUUAAUGGUUUAAGAAGACUAGAAGUCGGUUUCAAAGGAAGAUGAGAAAUAAAAGCAUUUAUAUAUAUGAUAUGUCAUUAAUUCAUAAACCAAAUAUAUAAAGUAUGUAAAAGUGUCAGGGGUUAAUCAUGGUGUUUUGACAAUCCGGUAACCUUCAACUUGAAGAAAACCUUAGGUUUCAAAAAUUUAUGUGAAGAGUUAGAAUGGUAUGCUUCAUGGAUCUGAAUAACUAGAACAGUGUAAGAGUGGUAUAUUGUGUCAAGUUUGGUUUCUUGUAUAUAAUUGUAUCGAAAACAAUGUUACAUGAGUUAAAAUGAAUGUUCAUCCAAUUUAACAAAGCCUGCAUUAUGUUGAUCAAAAUUUUUAAUUCAUGUUGAGGUUUCUUCCGUGAUAUCUUUGAUGUCAAGGUUAUGAUGUUGCUGAAGGGACACCUGUAAGAGAUAAGCUACGGUGCUGUGGCAUUGGAUUCGGAUGGUUCUUGUAAGUGUACAUAGUUUUCUUUGUUUUUAAAGAGUUCUUUACAUAUGAAGUAAAACAAGUAGCGACUUGAUGGAUAUGUCAUUAAGCUUUAACUUAAGCAAAUCAUUUUCCUUCAUCUCUAAUUGCCAUUUCUUUAAAAGAAAAAGAGGAAGUUUUGUAGUUUACAGUUUGGACAAAUGGAAGUUAAUAUAAUGCACUAUUUGGAUGGACUAUGGAGAUAUCCAAUCAUAUUGGAUGAGUUAUAAGAAACCUGUGAGUUCAUAUUGGGUUUACUUUAUAUCAUAAUUAGAUUGUUGAGCUGGCUGUCAGACUUAGAUGGUAUUUCACGUUGCUACAUGUUAAACUAUACCACUUUCACAUUCAUACGUGAAAUGGCUGGGAUUUAGUGCCAUUCUACUUAGCAGCCUCGUGUAAUACACAGGUGAAAUGUUUAUGUCUUCAUGUCACCUUAAAGUUCCCAUUUCCAUGACGGUAUUGUUAAGUAAAGACUGGUACAUACCCCAAAAUACGGAAAUUGUUUUGGAUGUAUACUAUACUUUACCAUGCAUGAUUUUUUACAAGUUUGCAUGGUAUUUUAUCAUUAUAUUGGUCUUUAUUUUCUAUACUCGCAGCUUCCAUUAAUAUAUUUUUAUGAAUUUUAUCAUUAUGCUGGUUUGAAGGUUCAUCAUUGGUUUCUUCAUUGGGGGCCAUCCCUGGUAUAUUGGAUUCUUUGUUUUACUUUGUGCAAGGAUAGACGACAGAGAGAAAGCAGGAUAUAUUGCAUGCACAAUUGCCGUGAGUAUCUUUUCUAUCAUUAUUUUUUUCUUUUCCAAUUUUAUGAAAGCCAUCCUUCCUGCCUUGUAUUGAUCAUCAAUUUAACCAUUGUAUAUAUGUAUCUUAUGUAUUUGUACCAUGCUUUAUCUUCAAUGCAAAUAUAAGUUAAACUACAAAGAUUGGAUUGUUAAAAAAAGUUUAAAAUGUUAAAAAAAUUGAAAAUUUUGAUUUUGUAAGAAUGAUAGAAAACCAAGGCCAGUGCUUGCAUAUGUUAUCUACUACAUGCACAAUCGGGUCGAUGUCUGUAUAUGUUUCAUGUUUAGAAAUCGUGUUCAAUUGGGUUACGAUAUGUACAAUUGAAGUGUCAAUUUAUAAUUUCCUUAUCAAGAUUACACAUUUUUUUGUUAAUAUUCGGAAUCACUCAAUGGUUAUAAACCCUGAUUGGAUACUGUCCACAAAGUCUAGUUGGAACAUCCCUUGUAUUCUUUGUCCUUUCUAAGAACUUUCCUUUCCAUCAUUCUCGCUUCUGUUUUUUUUUUCUUCCCUCUACUUUAAGUCAUUAUCUAACGUAGAUAUCCCUUGUAUUCUUUGUCCUUUCUAUGGCAAUCGAGUCAAUUGAUGGCAAGCCAAAAAAACAAAAAGAACAGCUAUCCUGUCUUACUCGAUUGCCAUCCCUCCUGUUAAACACCAUUAAGAAAAGGAAAAUUUUAGUUAAGCUUUAAAACAGCCAUGUUUUAACGAUGUUGGUGAUGGUGCUUGUGCAGGCCCUUCUUGCUACAAUUACAAUUAUUCUUAGUGCAACAAUUAAAGCUGGUGGGUGAUAAAGCACACCUCUUUUGACUGAGAGAUGUAUAGGUUCCCAAAUAAUAUGUAUAUGCUCCCCCCCCCCUCCCUUUAUUUUAUUUUAUUUCCAGUAAGUUAUUGUUUAUGAUAAUUUGCAACAAAUGUUUUUGUCAUUAUUUUGUUGGUGAAUGAUAAUAAGAUUAAGCUUUACUUUCUUAAGCUCCAAUUCCUUGGACGUUGGUGAUUUUUUUAUUAUAGUUGAGUCCUUGUAUGGUAUUAAUAUAAUUUAUGUCGCUUAAAAUUUAUAACUAAAAAUAUAAAAUUUAAAUUUUACUUCAAUUUAUUUGUAUUUAUAAAUGGUUAAUUCAAACUUAUUUUUUUCCUCAUUAUAUUUUAUAUUUAAAUUAACAUUUAAACUAUUUUUCAUUAGCAAUGUUGUUAAGAAUUAUAUUUUUUAGCACCAACAUCAAACUUACUAAAAUUAAAUUUUUAACUAUUUUAAAAAAAAUAUUUUUAGCUAUUUAUCAUCAUAGAGAAAAAAAGGUGACGUCACCACGCCUCAUGCUUCGACACCACAAACUAGACUCUCAUCACCUGUAUUUAUCAUCGAUUCAAAUUCCAGAACUACCUAAAAAUAUAUCUUCAAACUUCCUCUGGUUAAGUUCAUUGAUAGUCAACUUACUAUUAUUUCUAAAAAAAAAAACAAAUAAAUUGGUUAAUAGUAAUCUCAAUGAUUCAAUUUUAUUCUUACCAAUAUCUGUCCUUUAGAAAGGGGCUUAUAAAAGGGAUAGAGGUGAGUAAACUUGAGCUUCAGCUUUCCACAAACACCUUAAUUUGAAGACACAGUUCUCUCAUACUAAAAAAGACAUGGAAGUUUACCUUGUAAUUAGAGAUUUGGUUUCAUUGCUUGUUGUUGGGUUAUUAAUGAUAUGGGGAUGCAGAACUUUAAACUGGGUAUGGCUGGCCCCAAAAAGGCUCGAAAGCUGCUUGAGACAACAGGGUUUUGCAGGGAAUCCUUACAGGUUCCUUUCUGGUGACAUAAAAGAGCUCUCAACUAUGAGCAGACAAACAAGAGCCAAACCUAUGCCUCUUAGUGAUGAUAUUGGGCCUUAUGUUGUUCCUUUUCAACAUCAAACUGCUAACCAGUAUGGUAUGCUUUUUUUGUUUAAUCUGCAAUUUAUGAUAAUUCUUUGUUAUUUAUGUAUGGAAUUUAUUGGGAGGAAAUGCAGGAAAGAAUUCAUUUACGUGGUUUGGUCCAAGACCAAGGGUGAACAUUACGGACCCUGAAAAAAUAAGAGAAAUACUUAACAAAUUUAAUGACUUCCAGAAGAUACAUACCAAUCCACUGCUUAAUUUGCUUGUAAGCGGCCUUGCUAACCUCGACGGAGACCGAUGGAGCAAGCGUAGAAAAAUCAUAAACCCUGCAUUUCAUCAAGAUAAGUUGAAGGUAUAGAAUAGUGAUGGGUAAUCAGACUUUACAGAAAACAUCAUACUUAAACCUAUGCUUUCCUGAUUUAGAAAUAAUUGGAUGCAGAAUAUGUUGCCAGCAUUUUAUCAAAGUUGUAGUGACAUGUUAAGCAAAUGGGAGAAGAUGGUGUGUACAAAAGGAUACAGUGAGUUAGAUGUGUGGCCUUAUCUCGUAGAUUUGACAAGAGAUGUGAUUUCCCGAUCUGCUUUUGGAAGCAGCUUCGAAGAAGGCAAACGAAUUUUCCAAUUACUAGAGGACCAACUCGUUCACAUAAUCAAAUUAAUACAAACUGUUUACAUUCCAGGAUGGAGGUAACCCUCAACUUAAUUUACUUGAAAAAGGUUGCAAAUGUUGGAAUUGGCUAAAUUCGUGUUUGUUUUCUUGAAGGUUUUCGCCAACGAAGACAAACAGGGAGAUGAAGAUGAAACACAGGGACAUAAAAGAGUUGCUUAUGGAAAUGAUAAAGAGAAGGGAGAAGGCAAUUAAAGCAGGGGAAGAGAGCAAUGAGGACUUGUUGGACAUACUUGUGGAAUCCAAUAUCAGAGAAAUGGAAGCAAAGAAUAUGGGGAUGAGCAUUGAGGAUGUGAUUGAGGAAUGCAAGCUGUUUUACUUAGCUGGCCAAGAGACCACUUCGGUCUUACUGGUGUGGACUAUGGUUUUAUUAGCAAGGUAUCCCGAUUGGCAAAGUAAAGCAAGAGAGGAGGUUUUGCAUGUUUUGGGUGACAGUAAACCUGACGCUGAUGGCCUUAAUCGUCUCAAAGUUGUAAGUCCCUAGCAUGUCUUUUGAAGGUCCGAUCAAUGAGGUCGACAACUCAAAAACUUUGUUUCUUUUUUCGCUAAUUCUACAGGUAACAAUGAUAUUGUACGAGGUUCUAAGGCUGUACCCACCGGUGGUUGAGCUAGAACGUUCCGUUCCAAAAGAAAUAAAACUGGGGAAUUUGUUGUUACCAGUAGGAACAGAAGUUUCGGUUCCGAUCCUGCUGAUCCACCAUGACAAAGAUCUUUGGGGCGAUGACGCACGGGAAUUUAAGCCAGAGCGGUUCGCGGAAGGGGUUUCCAAAGCAACAAAGAGUCAAGUCACGUUUCUGCCAUUCGGAUGGGGUCCUAGGAUCUGUAUUGGCCAAAAUUUUGCUAUGAUGGAAGCCAAAAUGGCGAUGGCUAUGAUUCUCCAACGCUUCUGGUUCGAGCUUUCCCCUUCCUAUGCUCACUCUCCUUACGGCAGGGCAACUCUUCGUCCACAGCAUGGUGCACAGAUAAUUUUACAUAAACUUGGCUGUAAUUGAAUUGUUAUGUAAACAAAUCUUUGUGAAAACAUAGCGUUUUAGUUUAUCGUCAAAGUCCGGUGUCUGUAAUGGUACAAAUUCGAUGCAUGAAUAGUAAAGUUUGAGAUGUUUGGUGAAGUCCGAAAUAAUAUGCAGAAAUUGAGUGUGGUAAUUAUCAAUCAAAUAAUUCGGUACAAAGACUUAUAUGGAAAUUAAAGCAGGGGGAGUUGAAAAUGACUACUCUGCUUUGGGCAUCAAUUUAGAAAGAUUUAAAGUACAAAUGUGUUAUUAGUUAAGGGAUUUGUUUUAAAGAGGGAAUGACAAUUAAACCUCAUGGUUGAUUUGUGGAAGGGAACCGAUGAUGGGAUGAUUAUUCUUAGUGGUAAAAAAAACUAUUGUGGAGGUUAUUAUACUUGUUAUCAUCGGCUUAAAAUUCGAAUGGGUUCAAGUCGGAUUAUAUCGAGCUUGUAAGAUGAGUUCACGGAUCAAGUUUGCAUAAUAAAAAUACUUAAAUGAAAAAAUUUCUAUUUUAGAGGGACCAGAGCCCCUACCAACUCCCGGCUCAGCUACUAAACAAUACCCAUAUCAUAUAAAUAAAUACCACAUAAAAAAAACUCAAAGAAAAACACUGACAAAUGAUAAAUAGAUAGAUGUUGGAUAAGUGUCCAAAAUAUGAUUUAAGUGAAGAUACAUGGGGUAGGUGUCACGGAAAUGUGAAUACAAGAAUACUACUAAUGGGAUGUGUACAGUUGAAUGUAGGGAGCAAAAAGAGGAGUGAAUCAUUUUGGUAACAUUGGGACAAGAAACAUAAUGAACAAAAUGGAAGCAGAGGAAGCUAGUAAAAGAAAUUUUUUGGGUCAUAUAAUUUGUUUGGCAUAUAUUUUUAUAAUUUUUAAAUAUCAUUUUGGACUUGAAUUAUAAUUUUUUUAUAUAUUAUCUUAAAAUUGUAUAAAUUUUAAGGAGUUAAAACAAAAUUAUUCUAUUUUUAGAUGGUUAAAGUAGAGAUGAUAAUGGGUUGAGCUAUUCGGCCCAGCCUGACGAUCCACCCGAAAAAUAGGAAGGUUUGGGUAAAAAUAUAGGCUCGAAAUAUGAAUUUGAGCAAAAAAAGAGGCCCGUUUAGAAAAUAGGCCGGGCCUCAGGUAAAACCUUUUGGGCCCAGACCUGACCUAAAUUAUAUAUUAAAUAUAUAUAUUUUUAUUUUUAAUCAAAUAUACUUUUGUUUUAUUAUUAAUUUGGUUAUUAUUUUAGUUCUAAUUUGUUUCAAUUUUAAUAUAACUACUUUUUAUUAUAUUUUCAAUUUGUGUAUUGUUUUAAGAAUUAUUUUAGUCUCAUUAUUUAUUUAUUUUUUAUUUUAAUAUUUGUUUUAAAAUUUUUUAUUUAUUGAAAUAAGCUAAAAAAAUUAAUAUGGGUUGGACCAGACCGGGCUCGGGCCUAGUAAUUUUCUUUUGGGCCGGACUUAAACAAAUUUUUAAGCCCAUAUUUUGAAUUGGGUCCUACACUAGAAAAUGGACCUAAAAUUUUGUAUUACCUUUAGGUCAGAGCUAUCCUCGUUUUGCAUUUCUUUGAGAUUCAGCCUUAUUUACUUUUGAUUGCCACUCAAUAGAGGGUUGAGUAGAAAUAUUUGGUGAAGCAAGCUAAGCUAUCAAUCAAGGUGUGCAUAAUUAUUUAAAUGUAAUUCUAAUAUUAAAAUAAAAUUUUUAUUAAUAUAGUAUCAACAAGCAUUAAAUGUAAUCAUCAUAUACUAUUAAAUUUUCAAUAAGAGAAAACAUGCUUGAACUUUAAAAACGAUGUUACUAAAAACAUUAUCACAAAUCUUGAAAUAUAAAAAAUAUUUUUUAAUAUAAUAAAAAAUAAUUUUAAACCCGAGAUGAAUAAAAUUCUAAUUUUAAUUAAUGAUACCAACAACAAAUCAAUAUUUAAAUUAAAAUUUAUCUUAAUUUAAUAUAAUAAAAUUGGACCUGAAUAUUGAAUUUUUGAGUCUUGGGCAAAGUAGAGGUGCUCAUGGGCCGGGCUGGGUCGGGUUUGGGAAAAAUUUCGGCCCGCAUCCUAGGCUCGGGCUCGGCCCGACCCAAAUAUGGGCCUAAAAUUUUGUCUAGGCCUAGCCCGACCCGGCCCGACUUAUUUUUUUUAAUAAACACCAACAAUUUAUUUUGAAAAUAAAAAAAUAAAAAAAGUAUUUUAAAAAUAUUUUAAAAUUUUUAAAAAAUAUAUAUAUUUAUUAUAUAUUCGGGCCGGGCCAGGCCCGAGCCAAAAAAGUGGCGCCCAAGGCCCGGCCUGUUUUCUAAACGGGACUCAUUUUUUACCCAAACCCAUAUUUCGGGCCUAUAUUUCUACCCGAAUCUCUCAUAUUUCGGGCGAACCGUCGGGCCAGACCGGGCCGCCCGGCCAUGAACACCUCUAGGACAAAGUCACUCAAUGAAUGCAUGGAAAGAAAUAAUGCAACUUGGUGAUAGCUUUUGUUGGAGUUAUAUGCUUUUUUUUUACGUAGUGGAACUUUCGGUGGAUUUUCAAGUUUCAUGAACUUUAUACCCUAUGCUUUACGUGAAAAAAAAUCAUUGGACUUAAAAGUCUGCCAAAAGUUUCACUAUAAUAAAUAAAUAAAUAACAUUGCUACAAGACUUCAACAUAAAGUUACAAUAAGAGCUUAUAACUCAACAAAGGCUAUCAAUAAAUAAUCUCAAACAAAUUAAAGAGAAAUGUUGAGAGUACCACUCGAAUAGUGAUUAACUUUAAAAAUUGAAAACCCAAAGUUAUAAUAUCCCAAACGAAAUCAAACCAUAAACAUUAAAUUUUUCGAGUCUACUAGAUACUGCAAAAAAUUCAGCUCCAACAGACACCAAAUGAACCUAUGAUCGAAGAAAAUACGAAAAUUAGUCUAGCUAAAUCAAGCUGCCAAACUUACUUUUUAUCUUAUCUUUAAUUUGCUGUGAAAUUCAAAACUAAGGUUUUGUACUUAGAACAACUUUCAAAAAGUUAAUUUUGAAAAAUGGAUUGAAUUUUCAAAAUAGAUGAUAUUUUAUUGUGUUAAAAUUUUAUUCGUUGUUUGAAAAAAAAUUUAAAUCAUUUUCUUAGAAUUAUUUUUAGUGAAACAAACAUAUCAUAAAUAUAUUUGUUAUAAAAUAUUUAUAUUAAUAUUUUCUUUUAACAAUUAAAAUAUAUUUUGUGAUAAGGUAUAUUUUAUAAUAAUUAAUAUCAUAUAUACUUAAUAAUAAAUCAUGUCUAAUUAAAAUUUAAUUUCAAUUAAAUAUAUUAAUAAAGCUACAUAUAAUCAUAUUUUAUAUAAUAAAAAUAUUAAUAUAAAUAUUUUUUUAAUAAUAUAUUAAAGAAUAUUUAAAAUUUAAAUUUAUUAUUACUAAGAUUAAUUAUUAAAAUAAAAAUGUAAUAUUAAAUAAUUUAUCCAAUGAUAAGUUAUAUUAAUAAUUUAUUAUAUUAUUAAAUAUAAAUAAUUAAAUAUGUAUGUUUAAUAAUAUUAUGUUAUAAUAUUUAUUAUUAAUAUUUUAAUAUUUUUAAACAACCAUGUUUUAAAGAUGGUGGUGAUGCUGAUGGUGCAGGCCCCCUUGUUACAAUUACAAUAUUUUUAAGUGGGAUGCAUGUAAUAUAUUGUUAGGGUUCUAGAGUGUGUCAUCUUUAAAAGGGUUAAAUUAUAUAUUUAUAUAAUAUGAUUAUUGUUUAUAAACAUAAUAUUGUAGAUAAACUUUUAUGCAUGUCAAUAUGUAUCCUACUCUGGGGUUAAUAUGUAUUUUUAGAUAUGGAUUCACCUAUAUAAUAGUAUGAAUCCAUCAUGCGGUCUCAUGAAAUAUACAAACACAUAUCGUGCGAACACAAAGUACGAACAAUAAAAAGUACAAAUCAAGACCAAUUGAGUAAUUGAAUAACAGAUAGGUAAUAAUGACUAUCCCCUCUUGUUUGAAUUUAUUUUAUUUCCAGUGAGUUAUCGUUUAUGAUAAAUUUACAACAAAUGUUUUUAUCAUUAUUUUGUUGGUAAAUGAUAAUAAGAUUAAACUUUACUUUCUUAAGCUCCUUCAAUUCUUUGGACGUUAGCAAGUAAACUUGAGCUUCAGCAUUCCACAAACACCUUAAUUUGAAGACACAGUUCUCCCAUACUAAAAACAACAUGGACGUUUACCUUGUAAUUAAUGAUACGGGGAUGGAGAGCUUUAAACUGGGUAUGGCUGGCCCCAAAGAGGCUCGAAACGUGCUUGAGACUAGAGGUCCAGGCAAAUUUUUAGGCCCAUUUUUUAGGCUUGGACUGGGCCCGACUCGAAAUAUGAGCUUAAAAAUUUGUCUAAGUUCGGUCCAAAAGAAAAUUGUUAAGCCUAAGCCUGGCCCAUAUUAAAUUUUACAACACCAAAAAACUAUAUAUUUAAUAUAUAUAUUUGAUUAAAAAGUAUAUUUAAUUAAAAAUAAAAAUAUAUAUUUAAUAUAUAAUUCGGGCCGGGCCGAACUCGGGCCAAAAAAGUUUUACUCGGGGCUGGUCCGUUUUCUAAACAGACCUCGUUUCUUUGUCAAAAUCCAUAUUUUAGGCUUAUAUUUUUACCCGAAACUUCCUAUUUUUCGGGUGAGCCGUCAGGCCGGACUGGGUAGCCCAACCAAUGAUCACCUCUACUUGAGACAACAGGGUUUUGCAGGGAAUUCUUACAGGUUCGUUUCUGGCGACAUAAAAGAGCUCUUCACUAUAAGCAUACAAACAAGAGCCAAACCUAUGCCUCUUAGUGAUGAUAUUGGGCCUUAUGUUGUUCCUUUUCAACAUCAAACCGUCAACCAGUAUGGUAUGUUUUUUAAUUUAAUCUACAAUUUAUGAUAAUUCUUUGCUAUUUAUGUAUGGAAUUUAUUGGGAGGAAAUGCUGGGAAGAAUUCAUUUACGUGGAUUGGUCCAAGAUCAAGGGUGAACAUUACGGACCCUGAAAAAUAAGAGAAAUACUUAACAAAUUUAAUGAGAUCCAGAAGGUACGUACCAAUCCACUGCUUAAUUUGCUUGUAAGCGGCCUUGUUAACCUCGAAGGAGACCGAUGGAGCAAGCAUAGAAAAAUCAUAACCCUUCAUUUCAUCAAGAUAAGUUGAAGGUAUAGAAUAGUGAUGGGUACUUAAGACUUAAUUUACAGAAAACAUCAUACUUAAAUCUAUGCUUUUCUGAUUUAGAAAUGAUUGGAUGCAGAAUAUGUUGCCAGCAUUUUAUCAAAGUUGUUGUGACAUGUUAAGCAAAUGGGAGAAGAUGGUGUGUACAGAAGGAUACAGUGAGUUAGAUGUGUGGCCUUAUCUUGUAGAUUUGACAAGAGAUGUGAUUUCCCGAUCUGCUUUUGGAAGCAGCUUCGAAGAAGGCAGACGAAUUUUCCAAUUACUAGAGGACCAACUCGUUCUCACAAUCAAAUUAAUACAAACUGUUUACAUUCCAGGAUGGAGGUAACCCUCAACUUAAUUUACUUGAAAAAGGUUGCAAAUGUUGGAAUUCGCUAAAUUCGUGUUUGUUUUCUUGAAGGUUUUUGCCAACAAAGACAAACAGGGAGAUGAAGAUGAAACACAGACAUAAAAGAGUCGCUUAGGGAAAUGAUAAAGAGAAGGGAGAAGGCAAUUAAAGCAGGGGAAGAGAGCAAUGAGGACUUGUUGGACAUACUUGUGGAAUCCAAUAUCAGAGAAAUGGAAGCAAAGAAUAUGGGGAUGAGCAUUGAGGAUGUGAUUGAGGAAUGCAAGCUGUUUUACUUUGCUGACCAAAAGACCACUUCGGUCUUGCUGGUGUGGACUAUGGUUUUAUUAGCAAGGUAUCCCGAUUGGCAAAGUAAAGCAAGAGAGGAGGUUUUGCAUGUUUUGGGUGACAGUAAACCUGAUGCUGAUGGCCUUAAUCGUCUCAAAGUUGUAAGUCCCUAGCAUGUCUCUUGAAGGCCCGAUCUCUGAGGUCGACAACUCAAAAACUUGGUUUCUUUGUUUCGCUAAUUCUACAGUUAACAAUGAUAUUGUACGAGGUUCUAAGGCUGUACCCACCAGUGAUUGAGCUAGGACGUUCCGUUCCAAAAGAAAUAAAACUGGGAAAUUUGUUGUUACCAGCAGGAACAGACGUUUCGGUUCCAAUCCUGCAGAUCCACCAUGACAAAGAUCUUUGAGGCGACGACGCACGGGAAUUUAAGCCACAGCGGUUCACGGAAGGGGUUUCCUAAGCAACAAAGAGUCAAGUCACGUUUCUGCCAUUCGGAUGGGGUCCUAGGAUCUGCAUUGGCCAAAACUUUGCCAUGAUGGGAACCAAAAUGACGAUGGCUAUGAUUCUCCAACGCUUCUGGUUCGAGCUUUCCUCUUCCUAUGCUUACUCUCCUUACAACAUGGCAACUCUUCGUCCACAGCAUGGUGCACAGAUAAUUUUACAAAAACUUGGCUGUAAUUGAAUUGUUAUGUAAACAAAUCUUUGUGAAAAUAUAGUGUUUUAGUGUAUCGUCAAAGUCUGCCUGUAAUGGUACAAUUCCGAUGCAUGAAUAGUAAAUCUUGAGAUGUUUGGUGAAGUCCGAAAUAAUAUGCAGAAAUUGAGUGUCUUGAAUGGAUGUAGUAUUUAAUGGUGGACAUAGUUGAGGGACUAAUGUGGUAAUUAUCAAACAAAUAAUUGCAUAUGGUACAAAGACUUGUAUGGAAAUUAGAGCAGGGCGAGUUGAAAAUUACUACUUUGCUUCGGGCAUCAAUUUAGAAAGAUUUAAAGUACAAAUGUAUUAUUAGUUUAAGGGAUUUGUUUUAAAGAAGGAAUGACAAUUAAACCUCAUGGUUGAUGUGUGGAAGGGAACCAAUGAUGGGAUGAUUACUCCUAGUGGUAAAAAAAAAAACUAUUAAGGUGGUUAUUAUAGUUGUUAUCACCGGCCCAAAAUUAGAAUAGGUUCAGGUCGGAUUAUAUUGAGCUUGUAGAUGAGUUUGCAUGAUAAUAGGUGUUCACAGAAAGAUAUCUAUAGUUUCCUACAAAGUCACAUGUGAGAUCGUGCAUUGGGACCGCAUAAAAAUGUUUUAUGUUUAGAAUAUGAUACGUGUCUAUGUGUAUGGAAUCUACCUAAUAUAUCAUAUUAAUUAAUAGUAUCAAUUGCGGAGCCAAAAAAUUAUUUCUGAGGGGUCAGAAUUAAAUUGUAUAUUUUUACAAAAAUAAAAAUUAAAUUUCACUAUUUUAAUAGUUUAUUUCUUUUUAAUUUUUAAAUGAUUAAAUUAAAUUUUUAUAAAUUUUUGGGAUCAAAGUACAAUUUUAUCAUUUCUAAUUUAAAAUUUUAUAAAAUAUAAAAAGUUUAUAUGAAAAGUUUUCUAUUUUAGAGUGGCCAAAGCCCCUGCCAACUUCCGACUCGAUCACUAAACAAUAUAAAUAAAUAAAUACCACCAUCUAAAAGACUCAAGAAAAACACUCAACGAUAAAUAGAUAGAUGUUGGGUAAAGAUACGUUUGGAUGGGCGGUGCGUUUACUUGCGGUUAGUAUAAAAAUAGCGGUGGCGGUUAGAUUAGAUACUAUAGCAACACUGUAGCGUAAGACAAAAAAUAAGCUAAACGCACUGCACUGCACUUAAUCGCCCAUCCAAACUCACCCUAAGUGUCCAAAAUAUGAUUUAAGUGAAGAUACGUAGGGUAGGUGUCAUGGAAAUGUAAAAGACAAGAAUCCCACUAAUGUAUGGGAUGUGUACAGCUGAAUGUAGGGAGCAAAGAGGAGUGAAUCAUUUUGGUAACAUUUGGACAAGAAACAUAAUGAACAAAAUGAAAGGAGAGGAAGCUAGUAAAAGAUUUUUUUGGGUUAUAUAAUUUGUUUGGCAUAUAUUUUUAUAAUUUUUAAAUAUCAUUUUGGAGUUGAAUUAUAAUUUCUUUUUAUGUUUUAAAACAUAAUUAUUCUAUCUUCAAAGGGUUAGAGUAGAGGUGAGCAUGGGUCGGGCUACUCGGCCCGAAAUGUGAGAGAUUUGGGCAAAAAUAUAGGCUCAAAAAAUGGACUUGGACAAAAAAAUAUAAGGCCCGUUGAAAAAUGGGCCGGGCAUUGGGUAAGGCAUUUUUGGCCCCGGGCCCGGCCCAAUCCUAAUUCACUAAAGGACAAAAAAAAUCUGAUUUUUAAAUAUUAUUUUCUCCCUAUUUUGCUACCAUUUUACUAUUAUGUUGCUACUAUUUUGUUGUUAUUUUUUGGAUAUUGUAUAAAACUUAUUUUAUUGUUAAUUUUGUUAUUAUUUUAAAGACAUUUGUUAAUUUUGUUAUUAUUUUAGAGACAUUUGCUUGUUAAGUUGCAUCUAUCUUAGUGUUAUUUAAGUAUACAUAUUUUUUAAAAUUUAUUUUCAAUUUAUUGGGAAAUAUUUAUUUUGAUGUUUUUAGUAUUUUGGAUGUAUUAUAUAUAUUAAAAUUAUAUAAAAAUUAAUAUGGCCGAGCCGAGUCAGGCCCAGAUUUUAGCAUUUUUAUUCAAGUCGGGCUUGAGCAAAAUUUUAAGCCCAUUUUUUGGGCCAAACCAGGCCUGGGCUUAGCAAAUGGGCCUAAAUUUUUAGUCAAGCCCGACCUAAACCCGAUCCGGCCCAUACUCACCUCUAGAUCAGAGCUGCCCUCGCUUUUCAUUUCUUUGAGAUUCAGUCUUAUCUACUGUUGAUUGCCCACUCAAUUGAGGGUUGAGUAGAAAGAUUUGGUGAAGCAAGCUAAGCUAUCAAUCAAGGUUGGAGAAAGCUUAGGAGGUCACAAUGCAUAAUUAUUUAAAUGUAAUUCUAAUAUUUAAAUAAAAUUUAUUAAUAUAGUAUUAACAAGCCCUAAAUGUAAUGAUUAUAUACUAUUACAUUUUUAAGAAGAGAAAACAUGUUUGAACCUUAAAAACAUCAUUAUUAAAAAUGAUAAUUAAAAAUUUUAAAAUAUAAAAAAUAUAAUUAAAAAUUAAUUUUAAACCCGAGCUGGAUAAAAUUCUAAUUUUAGAUAACGAUACUAAUAAGAAAUCAAUAUUAAAAUGAAAAUGAAAAGUAAUUUAAUAUAAUUUUUGAGUCUUGGGCAAAGGCACUCAAUGAAUGCUUGGAAAGAAAUAAUGCAACUUGGUGAUAGCUUUUGUUGGAGUAAUAUGCUCUUAUUAUAGUUUUAUGUUUUUAUCUUGCAAAAACAACAUAUUGGAGUUUUCGGCAUGAUUUUUUCUUAAUACUUUACAUGAAAAAUAAUAAUGGGACUUAAAAAUCUAUCAAAAGCUUCACCAUAAUAAUAAUAAUAAUAAUAAUAAUAAUAAUAAUAAUAAUAAUAAUAAUAAAUUGCUACAAUAUUACAACACGUUACAAUAAGAGCUUAUAACUCAACAAAGGCUAUCAAUAAAUAAUCUCAGGCAAGCUAAAGAGAAAUGUUGAGAAUACCACCCGAAUAGUGACUGACUUUAAAAGUUGAAAACCCGAAGCUAUAGUAUCUCAAACGAAAUCAAACCAUAAACAUUAAAAUUUUCAAGUCUACUAGCUACUGUAAAAAAUGCAGCUCCAACAGACACCAAAUGAGUCUUUGAUCGAAGAAAGUACAAAAACUAGUCUGGGUAAACCAAGCUGCCAAACUUACUUAUCUUAUCUUUAAUUUUGCAGUGAAAUUAAAAACUAAGUUUUUGUUUAUUUCACUUGGAACAACUUUCAAAAAAUUAUUUUUGAAAAAUGGAUUGGUUUUUCGAAAUAGAUGAUAUUUUAUUGUGUUAAAAUUUUAUUCGUUGUUGGAAAACUUUUUUUAAAUCAUUUUCUUAAAGUUAUUUUUAGUGAAACAAACAUAACAUAAAUAUAUUUGUUACAAAAAAAUUAUAUUAGUAUUUUCUUUUGACAAUUAAAAUUUAUUUUAUGAUAAGACAAUAUUUUGUAAUAAUUAAUAUCAUAUAUAUACUUAUUAAAAAAAUCUUGUUUAAUUAAAAUUUAAUUAAAAUUAAAUAUAUUAAUAAAGCUACAUAUAAUCAUAUUUUUUAUAAUUAAAAUAUUAAUAUAAAUAUUUUUCAAUAAUAUAUUAAAAUAUUAAAAUUUAAAUUAUUAUUACUUAAAUUAAUUAUUAAAAUAAAAAUUUAAGAUUAAAUAAUUUAUUCAAUGAUAAGUUUUAUUAAUAAUUUAUUGUAUUAUUAAAUAUAAUUAAUUAAAUAUGCAUAUUUAAUAAUAUUACGUUAUAAUAUUUUAAUAUUCUUAAACAGCCAUGUUUUUAAGAUGCUGGUGAUGGUGAUGGUGCGGGCCUCUCUUGUUACAAUUACUAUAAUUUUUUGUGCAAUAAUUGAAGUUGUUGGGUGGUCAAGCAAACCUCUUUUGACUGAGAUGCAUAUAAUAUACCCGCAUGUCCCCGCCUCCUAAAAUUUAAAUUUGCUAUUUGAAUCUUUAAAAUUUUUAAAAAUUUUAAAUUCAUAAAAGUAAAAUUAUACUUUGACCCUCUAAAAUUAUAAAAAUUUAAUUUAAUCUUUUAAAAAUUAUAAAUAUAUAGACUAUAAAAAAUUAAAAUUUCAUUGGGCCCCUAAUAUAUUGUUCAGGCUUCACCCUUGAUACUGAUGUUGACUAUUUUAGAGUAUGUGUCUUCUUUAAUAGGGUUAAAUUAUAUAUUUAUAUAAUAUAGUUAUUGUUUAUGGACGUGACAUCGUAACUAGGUUCUUAUGCAUGUCAACAUAUAUCCUAUUUUAAGGUUAACACGUAUUUUUAAAUAUGAAUUCACCUAUAUAAUGGUAUGAACCAUCAUGCAGUCUCAUAAAAUAUGCGAAUAUAUGUCGUGCGAACACAAAGUACAAACCACACAGAAUACGAAUUAAGACCCAAUUGAAUAAUCGGAUACGAAUCAGUAAUAAUGAAUUUCAUAACAGCCACCAACCCCUCUUUUGUUUUAAUUUAUUUUAUUUCCAGUAAGUUAUUGUUUGUGAUAAUUCACAACAAAUGCUUUUGUCAUUAUUUUGUUGGUAAAUAAUAAUAAGAUUAAACUUUACUUUCUUAAGCUCCUUCAAUUCUUUGGAAGUUGGUGGUUUUUUAUUCUAAUCUUAUUUUUUUUAUUAAUUUCUUUUUUUAUAAUAAAUGUGUUUAUAGAUCAGGUUGGAUUAUAAUUGAAUCAUUGUCUGGUAUUAACAUAAUUUAUAUCGAUUAAAAUUUAUUCGACUGGAAAUAUAAAUUUAAAAUUUUACUUCAAUUUAUCUUAAUUUAUAAAUUGUGAAUUUAAAUUUAUUUAUUUUCUCUCAUUAUAUUCAGUUUUUCGGAUCAUAUUUGGCCCAGAACAAAAACUAGAACAAAAAAACAAAUAUAUAUGUUUUCCAAAAAUUAAAUUGUUAACUUCAAAAAAAUAUAUUUUUAGCUAUUUAUCAUCAUAGAGAAAAACAAAUAAGGUCACCUCGCCUUAUGCUUCAACACCUCAACCUAGAUUCUCAUCACCUGUAUUUAUCAUCGAUUCAGAUUUUUAUUUUUACUAUAUUCUAGAUCUACCUAUAAAUAUAUCUUCAAACUUCCUCUGGUUAAGUUCAUUCAUAGAUAGGUGAGUAAACUUGAGCUUCAGCUUCAACAAACACCUUAGUUUGAAGACACAAUUCUCUCAUACUAAAAAUAUGGAAGUUUACCAUGUAAUUAGAGAUUUGGUCUCAUUGCUUGUUGUUGGUUUAUUAAUGAUAUGGGGAUGGAGAGCUUUAAACUGGGUAUGGUUGGCCCCAAAGAGGCUCGAAAGGUGCUUGAGACAACAGGGUUUUGCAGGGAAUCCUUACAGGUUCCUUUCUGGUGACAUAAAAGAGCUCUCAACUAUGAGCAGACAAACAAGAGCCAAACCUAUGCCUCUUAGUGAUGAUAUUGGGCCUUAUGUUGCUCCUUUUCUUCAUCAAACUGUCAACCAGUAUGGUAUGUUUAAUUAUUAUUUAAUCUUCAAUUUAUGAUAAUUCUUUGUUAUUUAUGAAUGGAAUUUAUUGGGAGGAAAUGCAGGAAAGAAUUCAUUUACGUGGAUUGGUCCAAGACAAAGGGUGAACAUUAUGGACCCUGAAAAAAUAAGAGAAAUAUUUACCAAAUUUAAUGACUUCCAGAAGGUGCGUACCAAUCCACUGCUUACUUUGCUUGUAAGCGGCCUUGUUAACCUCGAAGGAGACCGAUGGAGCAAACAUAGAAAAAUCAUAAACCCUUCAUUUCAUCAAGAUAAGUUGAAGGUAUAGAAUAGUGAUGGGUACUUAAGACUUAAUUUACAGAAAACAUGAUACUUAAAUCUAUGCUUUUCUGAUUUAGAAAUGAUUGGAUGCAGAAUAUGUUGCCAGCAUUUUAUCAAAGUUGUUGUGACAUGUUAAGCAAAUGGGAGAAGAUGGUGUGUACAGAAGGAUACAGUGAGUUAGAUGUGUGGCCUUAUCUUGUAGAUUUGACAAGAGAUGUGAUUUCCCGAUCUGCUUUUGGAAGCAGCUUCGAAGAAGGCAGACGAAUUUUCCAAUUACUAGAUGACCAACUCGUUCUCAGAAUCAAAUUACUACAAACUGUUUACAUUCCAGGAUGGAGGUAACCCUCAAUUUACUUGAAAAAGGUUGCAAAUGUUGGAAUUGGCUAAAUUCGUGUUUGUUUCCUUAAAGGUUUUUGCCCACAAAGACAAACAGGGAGGUGAAGAUGAAACACAAAGACAUAAAAGAGUCGCUCAGGGAAAUGAUAAAAAGAAGAGAGCAGGCAAUUAAAGCAGGGGAAGAGAGCAAUGAGGACUUGUUGGACAUACUUGUGGAAUCCAAUAUCAGAGAAAUGGAAGCAAAGAAAAAGGGGAUGAGCAUUGAGGAUGUGAUUGAGGAAUGCAAGCUGUUUUACUUUGCUGGCCAGGAGACCACUUCGGUCUUGCUGGUGUGGACUAUGGUUUUAUUAGCAAGGUAUCCCGAUUGGCAAAGUAAAGCAAGAGAGGAGGUUUUGCAUGUUUUGGGUGACAGUAAACCUGAUGCUGAUGGCCUUAAUCGCCUCAAAGUUGUAAGUCCCUAGCAUGUCUUUUGAAGGUCCGAUCAAUAAGGUCGACAACUCAAAAAUUUGGUUUCUUUUUUCGCUAAUUCUACAGUUAACAAUGAUAUUGUACGAGGUUCUAAGGCUGUACCCAUCAGCGACUGAGCUAGGACGUUCCGUUCCAAAAGAAAUAAAACUGGGAAAUUUGUUGUUACCAGCAGGAACAGAAAUUUCGGUUCCGAUCCUGCUGAUCCACCAUGACAAAGAUCUUUGGGGCGAUGACGCACGGGAAUUUAAGCCAGAGCGGUUCGCGGAAGGGGUUUCCAAAGCAACAAAGAGUCAAGUCACGUUUCUGCCAUUCGGAUGGGGUCCUAGGAUCUGCAUUGCCCAGAAUUUUGCUAUGAUGGAAGCCAAAAUGGCGGUGGCCAUGAUUCUCCAACGCUUCUGGUUCGAGCUUUCCCCUUCCUAUGCUCACUCUCCUUGCAG